Molecule: ribosomal RNA, 406 nt
Filed under: uncultured bacterium
Lineage: Bacteria
Description: partial 16S ribosomal RNA
Rfam family: Bacterial small subunit ribosomal RNA
Source: RNAcentral
AUUGAACGCUGGCGGCAGGCCUAACACAUGCAAGUCGAACGAGUGGCGGACGGGUGAGUAAUGUCUGGGAAACUGCCUGAUGGAGGGGGAUAACUAUUGGAAACGGUAGUUAAUACCGCAUACCAUCGGAUGUGCCCAGAUGGGAUUAGCUAGUAGGUGGGGUAACGGCCCACCUAGCCGACGAUCCCUAGCUGGUCUGAGAGGAGGACCAGCCACCCUGUAACUAAGACACGGUCCAGACGCCUACGGGAGGCAGCAGUGGGGAAUAUUGCACAAAGGGCGCUAUCCGGAUGCAGCCAUGCCGCGUGUAUGAAGAAGGCCUUCGGGUUGUAAAGUACUGUCAGCGGGGAGGCGUUACCCGCAGAAGAAGCACCGGCUAACUCCGUGCCAGCAGCCGCGGUAAUUC